This 188-nucleotide ribosomal RNA is filed under the name uncultured bacterium. RNAcentral describes it as "partial 16S ribosomal RNA". It matches the Rfam family "Bacterial small subunit ribosomal RNA", at positions 1305 to 1500 of the family's 1533-position model. The record is from RNAcentral.
CUGAAACCCGCCUCCAUGAAGUUGGAUUCGCUAGUAAUCGCGCAUCAGCCAUGGCGCGGUGAAUACGUUCCCGGGCCUUGUACACACCGCCCGUCAAGCCAUGGAAGCCGGGAGUGCCUGAAGUGCGUGACCGCAAGGAGCGUCCUAAGGCAAUACCGGUGACUGGGGCUAAGUCGUAACAAGGUAAC